AUGAACCUAUUUGAAGUGGCCCAUUUCGUACCAGAAAAGUCCAUGUAUGAACAAGGGUUUAUUUUACUUCCACACUUAGCUACUCUAGGUUGGGGAGUAGGGCCAGGGGGAGAAGUUCUAGAUACUUUUCCGUACUUUGUAUCUGGAGUACUUCACCUAAUUUCCUCCGCUGUCUUCUCCCUAAGUUUUGCUAAAACCGGCAACGUAAAGUUUUUCAUUUUUUCUUUUUGA
This 231-nucleotide ribosomal RNA is filed under the name Triticum aestivum (bread wheat). RNAcentral describes it as "partial small subunit ribosomal RNA". Lineage: Eukaryota; Viridiplantae; Streptophyta; Magnoliopsida; Poales; Poaceae. The record is from RNAcentral.